UUGCUUAAGGGAAGAAUGAUGUCCCAGAUAUGAGACUUCCAUCCUUUUCACUUUGUCAGCACUGUCUUUUUUUGUUUCCGGUGCUGAUCAUUGUUGGGUGGUACAUAU
This 108-nucleotide small nucleolar RNA is filed under the name Ipomoea nil (Japanese morning glory). Its description in RNAcentral is "Small nucleolar RNA snoR99". It matches the Rfam family "Small nucleolar RNA snoR99". The record is from Rfam by way of RNAcentral. Lineage: Eukaryota; Viridiplantae; Streptophyta; Magnoliopsida; Solanales; Convolvulaceae.